AGUUUGAUCCUGGCUCAGGAUGAACGCUGGCGGCGUGCUUAACACAUGCAAGUCGAACGAGGUCCAUGGAGCUUGCUCCGGACGACCUAGUGGCGAACGGGUGCGUAACACGUGAGAAACCUGCCCCGAUCUCUGGGAUAACAGUUGGAAACGACUGCUAAUACCGGAUGCCGUCACACCGCUUCAUGGCGGAGUGCCGAAAGAUUCAUCGGAUCGGGAGGGUCUCGCGGCCUAUCAGCUAGUUGGAGAGGUAACGGCUCACCAAGGCAUCGACGGGUAGCUGGUCUGAGAGGAUGAUCAGCCACACUGGGACUGAGACACGGCCCACACUCCUACGGGAGGCAGCAGUGGGGAAUCUUGCACAAUGGGCGAAAGCCUGAUGCAGCAACGCCGCGUGCGGGAAGAAGGCCCUAGGGUUGUAAACCGCUUUCAGUAGGGAAGAAAAUGACGGUACCUACAGAAGAAGGUGCGGCCAACUACGUGCCAGCAGCCGCGGUGACACGUAUGCACCAAGCGUUAUCCGGAUUUAUUGGGCGUACAGAGCUCGUACGCGGUUUGGUAAGUCGGGUGUGAAAACUCUGGGCUCAACCCAGAGAGGCCACCCGAUACUGCUAUGACUAGAGUACGGUAGGG
This 633-nucleotide ribosomal RNA is filed under the name uncultured bacterium. RNAcentral's name for it is "bacterial SSU rRNA". It matches the Rfam family "Bacterial small subunit ribosomal RNA", at positions 10 to 656 of the family's 1533-position model. The record is from RNAcentral.